GGAGUCUGAGACAUCCCUUUCCAGAGUCUCAGAAAGGAGACUGAAGGGUACCUAGAGACUCAAACAAAUCAGUCCAGAAUGAUAAAAGAAGGUCACCAUCAAAUGAGAUGAUGACCGAGGAGUCAGAAGUUGUCCUAAUAUCAGCUUCCCAGGUCCAGGUUCCCUCAGAGAGCCUCUAUGAAGACUCUGUCGAAGACCAUGAGACCAUGUCCCAAAGGAAUCCUCCCAACGCUGCAGCCUCCUGGCAGACGUUCAGGAAAUUCCACUAUGAGGAUGCAGCUGGACCCAGGGAUGUCCUCCGACAUCUCCAGAAACUUUCUGGACAGUGGCUGAGACCUGAUGUUCAGACAAAGAGCAGAUUGUGGAGAUGCUGGUACAGGAGCACUUCCAGGCUGUCCUGCCCGAGGAGCUCAGAUCCAGGCCCAGAGAUGUCAGCCUAGGGUCAGAAUCACUGCCACUGGGUUCUUGUGCAGCCUACAUGUGAGAAGUAACCAGAGGUUCACUUUGUUGUUUCAAGAGCCAGCUACAGUGAUGGGGAAACGUGAACCUCAGUUUUUUUGAGCUUGCCUUUGACUAAAUUGUAAAUAAGACUCCAUCAAAACCCAUGUUUG
Molecule: long non-coding RNA, 611 nt
Filed under: Lynx pardinus (Iberian lynx)
Lineage: Eukaryota; Metazoa; Chordata; Mammalia; Carnivora; Felidae
Source: RNAcentral